AGUGAACGCUGGCGGUAGGCCUAACACAUGCAAGUCGAACGGCAGCACAGUAAGAGCUUGCUCUUACGGGUGGCGAGUGGCGGACGGGUGAGGAAUACAUCGGAAUCUACUUUUUCGUGGGGGAUAACGUAGGGAAACUUACGCUAAUACCGCAUACGACCUACGGGUGAAAGCAGGGGAUCUUCGGACCUUGCGCGAUUGAAUGAGCCGAUGUCGGAUUAGCUAGUUGGCGGGGUAAAGGCCCACCAAGGCGACGAUCCGUAGCUGGUCUGAGAGGAUGAUCAGCCACACUGGAACUGAGACACGGUCCAGACUCCUACGGGGGGCAGCAGUGGGGAAUAUUGGACAAUGGGCGCAAGCCUGCUCCAGCCAUACCGCGUGGGUGAAGAAGGCCUUCGGGUUGUAAAGCCCUUUUGUUGGGAAAGAAAAGCAGCAGGUUAAUACCCCGCUGUUCUGACGGUACCCAAAGAAUAAGCACCGGCUAACUUCGUG
This 492-nucleotide ribosomal RNA is filed under the name uncultured bacterium. RNAcentral describes it as "partial 16S ribosomal RNA". It matches the Rfam family "Bacterial small subunit ribosomal RNA", at positions 29 to 507 of the family's 1533-position model. The record is from RNAcentral.